AGGGAAUCUUCCACAAUGGACGCAAGUCUGAUGGAGCAACGCCGCGUGAGUGAAGAAGGUUUUCGGACCGUAAAGCUCUGUUGUUGGUGAAGAAGGAUAGAGGUAGUAACUGGCCUUUAUUUGACGGUAAUCAACCAGAAAGUCACGGCUAACUACGUGCCAGCAGCCGCGGUAAUCGUAGGUGGCAAGCGUUGUCCGGAUUUAUUGGGCGUAAAGCGAGCGCAGGCGGAAGAAUAAGUCUGAUGUGAAAGCCCUCGGCUUAACCGAGGAAUUGCAUCGGAAACUGUUUUUCUUGAGUGCAGAAGAGGAGAGUAGAACUCCAUGUGUAGCGGUGGAAUGCGUAGAUAUAUGGAAGAAUACCAGUGGCGAAGGCGGCUCUCUGGUCUGCAACUGACGCUGAGGCUCGAAAGCAUGGGUAGCGAACAGGAUUAGAUACCCUGGUAGUCCAUGCCGUAAACGAUGAGUGCUAAGUGUUGGGAGGCUUCCGCCUCUCAGUGCUGCAGCUAACGCAUUAAGCACUCCGCCUGGG
This 529-nucleotide ribosomal RNA is filed under the name uncultured bacterium. RNAcentral's name for it is "partial 16S ribosomal RNA". It matches the Rfam family "Bacterial small subunit ribosomal RNA", at positions 356 to 877 of the family's 1533-position model. The record is from RNAcentral.